GACGAACGCUGGCGGCGUGCUUAACACAUGCAAGUCGUGGGGUGGUAGCAAUACCUCACCGGCGAACGGGUGCGUAACACGUGAGCAACUUUCCGAUUUCUGGGGGAUAGCCGGCCCAACGGCCGGGUAAUACCGCAUACGCUCUUGGCGAGGAGUCUCGCUGGGAGGAAACCUCCGGGGAAAGUCGAGAGGCUCGCGGCCUAUCAGCUAGUUGGCGGGGUAAUGGCCCCACCAAGGCGACGACGGGUAGCUGGUCUGAGAGGAUGGCCAGCCACAUUGGGACUGAGAGACGGCCCAGACUCCUACGGGAGGCAGCAGUGGGAAUCUUGCGCAAUGGUCGAAAGACUGACGCAGCGACGCCGCGUGCGGGAGGAAGCUCUUCGGGGUGUAAACCGCUGUUGCCCGGGACGAAAUGCCCUUUCGAGGGUCUUGACGGUACCGGGUGAGGAAGCGCCGGCUAACUCUGUGCCAGCAGCCGCGGUAAUACAGAGGGCGCGAGCGUUGUCCGGAAUCACUGGGCGUAAGGGCGCGUAGGUGGCGGCAUAAGGCUGUGGUGAAAGUCCGGGCUCAACUCCGGAUCGGCCGUGGCAACUGUGUCGCUAGGGCACCGUAGAGGCAGAUGGAAUUCCGGGUGUAGCGGUGGAAUGCGUAGAGAUCCGGAAGAACACCGGGUGGCGAAGGCGGUCUGCUGGGCGGUGGGCAGCAAUGCUCCAAUAGCCGACACUGAGGCGCGACAGCGU
This 740-nucleotide ribosomal RNA is filed under the name uncultured bacterium. RNAcentral describes it as "bacterial SSU rRNA". It matches the Rfam family "Bacterial small subunit ribosomal RNA", at positions 28 to 762 of the family's 1533-position model. The record is from RNAcentral.